ACCGAGUCUUAACUGGGCGUUAAGUUGCAGGGUAUAGACCCGAAACCCGGUGAUCUAGCCAUGGGCAGGUUGAAGGUUGGGUAACACUAACUGGAGGACCGAACCGACUAAUGUUGAAAAAUUAGCGGAUGACUUGUGGCUGGGGGGGAAAGGCCAAUCAAACCGGGAGAUAGCUGGUUCUCCCCGAAAGCUAUUUAGGUAGCGCCUCGUGAAUUCAUCUCCGGGGGUAGAGCACUGUUUCGGCAAGGGGGUCAUCCCGACUUACCAACCCGAUGCAAACUGCGAAUACCGGAGAAUGUUAUCACGGGAGACACACGGCGGGUGCUAACGUCCGUCGUGAAGAGGGAAACAACCCAGACCGCCAGCUAAGGUCCCAAAGUCAUGGUUAAGUGGGAAACGAUGUGGGAAGGCCCAGACAGCCAGGAUGUUGGCUUAGAAGCAGCCAUCAUUUAAA
This 454-nucleotide ribosomal RNA is filed under the name Escherichia coli. Its description in RNAcentral is "bacterial LSU rRNA". It matches the Rfam family "Bacterial large subunit ribosomal RNA", at positions 676 to 1127 of the family's 2925-position model. Lineage: Bacteria; Pseudomonadati; Pseudomonadota; Gammaproteobacteria; Enterobacterales; Enterobacteriaceae. The record is from RNAcentral.